AUAAAUCUCUUUAACUUAACACUAUGCCUUACACAUAAGAUAUGAACACAGCCGCCGAUGAAUAUUCGUUCAAUUUAUGUAUCGAUUUUGUGUUAUCGAUUCAUUGUUCCAUUUUCACGUCGUACCAACUGACCUACCUCACAGCGAAAUGGCGCUCAAGCUUCCUUUUCGAUCAAAACCUCCAACCUGACAAGAUCAGAGAUCAGCAGCUAUAGAGAGAAUUCGCCUUUUUAAUACAAGUGUUUUAAGUUAAUUAAAACAAUUUAAUCGCCUUGAAGCGACAAUUAAUUCGAGCUUCGCAAGCUAUAAGAAUUUCGCCAGUGACCACACUAUACAAGUUCUGUGCAUUGGCUGUGCAAAAGCCACAAUCCAUAGUCACAGACUGAAUUUUUAAUCCAAGUCCGAGUCUAUAACGAAGCCACGCUGUCUAGCGCCAAGGUUCUAAGGAAGCGUGCAAAACUAGUGACUGUUGAUCAAAAGAAGUAGGCUUUUUCAAGGGGGCCAAAAUCCAAAGAUUUUAGGUAGGGAAAGCAUACCAAAACCACGUGGAUUCCACUACCACAUCCAGGAAAAUUCCUACCUUAUUGUCCCGAUCCAACAUCCCAUCUAUUUUUUACGAACCUUAAGAAGGUCCGACGAGGUUACGUCAAAAUCUCGAUCAGGUAAAUCUAA
This is a long non-coding RNA of Episyrphus balteatus (marmalade hoverfly), 672 nucleotides long. RefSeq lists it as uncharacterized. Lineage: Eukaryota; Metazoa; Arthropoda; Insecta; Diptera; Syrphidae. The transcript has 2 exons. The record is from RefSeq and is a predicted model, not a curated record.